GUCAAAGGCAAAAAAAAUGUUUUAAGUUCAUUAGACCACAUUCACUGUGUGUCAAAAACCUUUGAUGUGUCAACUAUUCAAUCACAAUCCAAAUUUAGAGCUGAAUCCAGCUUGAAUGUUGUAUCCAUUAUACUUGCCCCAACCGUUCAGGGUUCAACCUCUGUGGUCGUAUAAAGCCGCGCCUGUGGAGCAUCUGGUUAUUUUUUCAUUUACAAUUUUAUAUCGAUUAAAAAAUAUAUGUUUGACUGAAAGCCUAGCGUUCAUACAUGGUUUGAGUAAAAUGAUUCAUUCCUUCGUUAAUAUAUGAAUACGUUCGUUAAUAUAUGAAUACGACAUUCGCAUCAUUGAAAUUGGGUGCCGAUUUUUUUGGGGGUAUUUUUUGGGGGGUAUUUUUUUUGUUUGUUUUUCUUUUUUUCUUUAAAUCCUGUACACAAAAUAAAAUUUGAGAUUUGUUCAAUAGCACUGUAUUUCUUAUUUUCCGACUUAACUUUGUCACUUUUUCAGAUCAAAAUACUUUGCCAAAUGAUGUUUAACACGCGUCUGGCGUACUAAAUUAUAAUCCUGGUACCUUUGAUAACUAUUAAUGUAUAAUUUCAACAGUUUUCCUGUUUAUGAUAUUAAAUUAUAAAUUUCGAUUUCAAACUUGUGUAGCGUUACUUUUGUUGACUAGUAUACUUGAUGAAUGUGUGAUAGAUGAAAACAUGUGCUUCUGUCCUCCGUCUUGUGUUUCUUAACAGCUACAGAUGAUAACUUCUUUGUAUUAUAUUCUAGCUUUGAUAAGAUAAGCCUUACAAUAUUAUAAAUUUUUCUGUCGUGCGUAUACUUUUUGCAUGACAAAUAAAUGUUUUACUUUAAAAUGUAAAGAACUGAUAGCAUUGUUCUUUUUACACGGUUUUAAGUUCGGAAAUGUCAGCAAACAUUAUAACACAGAUUUCUGUGAAUUUACAUUGUUAAAAGAGUUUUUACUAUUCUCCUCUAGUUUCAGGUAAACAAAAUGAUUGAGAUGGUUGGUUGAACAAAAAUUAACCGGACAAAACCAACAGGCAGUUAUAUCGUUAUAUAUUAUAUAUAGUUUGUGGACUUGAAAUUGUUUUUGUUAAAAUGUUCAAUACGGUAUGAUUUUUUAAAAUUUUUCUUCAAGUAUUCCUGACUAUAACUUUUUUCGGAGAUGAAAAAGAAAAACAGAAAAAAGAAAGUCAACAAAGCAUUACAAACCCAAUGAUGAAUUAUGUCAUCCGGAACGGUCAGCAGUUUUUGAAUAUAGACGCAUCAUGGUAUGUCAUGAUUUUUGUAGUCUAUGAAAUUUGACAAAAAAUAAGCAAGGAGUCAAAAGUACAGAUGUACUUUGGAGAUAAAGUUAAAUUUUGAAGAAAAAAAAUAUCAGAAUAUAUUUUUUGUCAUCUUUUUAUUAUAACGUAUUGCUUAUGACAUAUGUGAUUUUGUCUUAAUACUUAUAAAUUUAUGGUUGCAAACUAUUAAUUAUAUGAUAUGAAUCUUUUUUAUUGUACAGAUAAUUUAAAUGUGUUCAUUUGAUGUACCCCGCUCAUAACACCUUAAUUUGUAAAACAUGUGCCUUUGUCCAACAAAUUAGUGCAUUGCGCAUUAUGGAGUCAUAAAUAUUUUAUCUGGAGUCAGUUUCAUAACCAAAAGAAAACUUACGACUAUUAACGAUUAAUUGUAAGUCUUGAACAAUUCAACUAGUGUACUUACGAUCAAUCUUAGUCGUAAGUAUUUAUGUGAAAACAUACUCUUGCAUUUAUUGCUAAAUGAAACUAAGGCAUUAUGCCAUUAAUCGUCCAAAUUACUAUAGUAUGAAGAGACUGUUCUAAUUUUUUAACAUGGCGCCGUUUUCAAUAAUCAUGAUGUCUUGAACGGCAAUUUUAAUUUCUUUGCAGCAAAGAAUCAAAAUAGCAGUUCAAGACGUCGGGCGUCAGAGAAAACAAAUAUAAAUCGCCUUUAGAAAUAAAAAAAAACUAUAUUAAAGGUUUCAUAUGAUUAUUUGGACUACUGAAGAAAAUGCUAAAUUAAAUAUGUGUGAAUCUAAUACAGCGCCAUAUGAUGCUCUGCAGGACAGAGAAGUGUUGUAAGUGUUGGGGUAUAAUGUUACUUGUUAUGUUUGUAUUAAAAUUUUAUAAA
Molecule: long non-coding RNA, 2136 nt
Filed under: Mytilus galloprovincialis (Mediterranean mussel)
Lineage: Eukaryota; Metazoa; Mollusca; Bivalvia; Mytilida; Mytilidae
Source: RNAcentral